Long non-coding RNA from Balaenoptera acutorostrata (minke whale), 555 nucleotides. RefSeq lists it as uncharacterized. The transcript is spliced from 3 exons. Lineage: Eukaryota; Metazoa; Chordata; Mammalia; Artiodactyla; Balaenopteridae. The record is from RefSeq and is a predicted model, not a curated record.
CUUCAACCCCCUCUCUGGAGGAGGGGGACGCGCGCGUGGAGUGUCCCCAGGUCCCCCAGCUCCUUCUCCUUGGCCGUCUCCAGCCAGAUUUCCUGAUGCGUCCAGCUGGUUAAAAUGCCUUCUUCCUUUGAACCCUUCAUACCCUCUUGGUUGAGAAUCUGCCUGCUAGUGCAGGGGACACGGGUUUGAGCCCUGGUCUGGGAAGAUCCCACAUGCCGCAGAGCAGCUGGGCCCGUGAGCCACAACUACUGAGCCUGCGCGUCUGGAGCCUGUGCCCCGCAACGGGAGGGGCCGCGAUAGUGAAAGGCCCGCGCACCGCGAUGAAGAGCGGUCCCCGCACCGCGAUGAAGAGUGGCCCCCACUUGCCGUAACUAGAGAAAACCCUCACACGAACUGAAGACCCAACACAGCCAAUAAAUAAAUAAAUAAAUAAAUAAAUAAAUAAAUAAAUAAGAGGAAAUAUUUAAAAAAAAAAAUUUCUUGAUAAUUAUCUUGUGAAUAAUGAACAUAGUUGCGAGUAUAGAAUAUGAUGGGGUUUUUUUACCCCCAAAAUAU